AGAGUUUGAUCCUGGCUCAGAUUGAACGCUGGCGGCAUGCCUUACACAUGCAAGUCGAACGGCAGCGGACCUUCGGGUGCCGGCGAGUGGCGAACGGGUGAGUAAUGUAUCGGAACGUACCUUUCAGUGGGGGAUAACGUAGCGAAAGUUACGCUAAUACCGCAUAUUCUGUGAGCAGGAAAGCAGGGGAUCGCAAGACCUUGCGCUGAUUGAGCGGCCGAUAUCAGAUUAGCUAGUUGGUGAGGUAAAGGCUCACCAAGGCGACGAUCUGUAGCGGGUCUGAGAGGAUGAUCCGCCACACUGGAACUGAGACACGGUCCAGACUCCUACGGGAGGCAGCAGUGGGGAAUUUUGGACAAUGGGGGCAACCCUGAUCCAGCCAUGCCGCGUGAGUGAAGAAGGCCUUCGGGUUGUAAAGCUCUUUCGGCCGGGAAGAAAUCGCAUGGGUUAAUA
RNAcentral lists this ribosomal RNA (453 nucleotides) under uncultured bacterium. RNAcentral's name for it is "bacterial SSU rRNA". It matches the Rfam family "Bacterial small subunit ribosomal RNA", at positions 8 to 465 of the family's 1533-position model. The record is from RNAcentral.